This 383-nucleotide ribosomal RNA is filed under the name uncultured eukaryote. RNAcentral describes it as "partial 18S ribosomal RNA". It matches the Rfam family "Eukaryotic small subunit ribosomal RNA", at positions 592 to 976 of the family's 1831-position model. The record is from RNAcentral.
CAAUAGCGUAUAUUAAAGUUGUUGCAGUUAAAAAGCUCGUAGUUGGAUUUCUGGUGGGAGCGAUCGGUCUGGCGCUUAGCGCGAGUACUUGCAUCGUCUCCGGCCAUCCUUGGGGAGAGUCUGUCUGGCAUUAGGUUGUCGGGCAGAGGAUCCUCAUCGUUUACUGUGAAAAAAUUAGAGUGUUCAAAGCAGGCUUAUGCCGUUGAAUAUAUCAGCAUGGAAUAAUAAGAUAGGACUUUGGUACUAUUUUGUUGGUUUGCGCACCAAAGUAAUGAUUAAUAGGGACAGUUGGGGGUAUUCGUAUUCCGUUGUCAGAGGUGAAAUUCUUGGAUUUACGGAAGACGAACUACUGCGAAAGCAUUUACCGAGGAUGUUUUCAUUAA